Molecule: RNA transcript, 10775 nt
Organism: Bufo gargarizans (Asiatic toad)
Lineage: Eukaryota; Metazoa; Chordata; Amphibia; Anura; Bufonidae
Gene: ATRN
Gene name: attractin
Exons: 29
Source: RefSeq, a predicted model, not a curated record
CCCGGGUCAGGCCUGGCAGCUCGGUGACGACAUCCGAGUGAGCGGAGCAGACUAGUGUCCCCGGACUGGAGAGCGCCGGCCUCGGGGGAGACAUGCGGACUGCGGGGCUGCUGCUCGUCCUGCUCCAGCUGUCCCUGUCCCCACUGCUGGAGGCCAAGGAGUGUGAGAAGCCUUGUGUGAACGGCGCCUGCCAGCCGGGCAGCGGACAGUGCCAGUGUGAUCCCGGCUGGACCGGAGAGCAGUGCCAGCACUGCGGGGGCCGCUUCUUGUUAACUGGACCAAGUGGGACUGUGACGGACGGCCCCGGGAACUACAAGUACAAGACUAAGUGCACCUGGCUGAUCGAGGGGCUACCCCAAUCUGUGCUGCGUCUGCGCUUCAACCACUUUGCCACAGAGUGCAGCUGGGAUCACCUGUACGUGUACAAUGGAGACUCCAUCUACGCCCCGCUGGUGGCUGCCUUCAGUGGACUUAUUGUCCCGGAGAGCGAAGGCAACGAGACGGUCCCCGAAGUCUCCAUUACUUCUAGAUACGCCCUAUUGCAUUUCUUCAGCGACGCGGCCUACAACCUGACCGGCUUUAAUAUCAGCUACAGCAUAAACACGUGUCCCAACAACUGCUCAGGACGGGGGAUCUGCAUUCAGGGAAACGACAGCAGUGUGUACUGUGACUGCGCCGAGGAGUGGAAGGGAGAGUCCUGCCACAUCCCCUACUGCAGGGACAACUGUGGCUACCCCGAGCGCGGAGACUGCAGCGUGAACGGCACCAAGAGCUGCGUGUGCAGCGACGGCUGGCAGGGUCCCGGCUGCUCCAUCCCAGUCCCUGCCAACCAGUCCUUCUGGACCCGGGAGGAGUUCUCCGAUCCUCAGCUGGGCAGAGCUUCCCACAAAGCACUGGUGCUGGAUGAUGUCAUGUGGAUCGUGGGCGGCUACGUGUUCGACCACUCCAUCGACCAGAUGGUUAUGGCGUAUAACCUGGUCUCCCGCGAGUGGCUGAAGCUGAACAGCUCUGUCAACUCUGUCGUCAUCCGCUACGGACACUCCCUGGCUUUAUACAAGGACAAGAUGUACAUGUAUGGCGGCAAGCUAGACUUCACAGGGAACGUAUCCAACGAGCUGUGGGUUUUCCAUGUUCAGAACGAGUCCUGGGUCCAGCUCCUUCCGAAUGCCAAAGAGCAGUAUGCUGUGGUGGGGCACUCGGCUCACAUCGUCACUCUGAAGGACGGCAGUACGGUCAUGCUGGUGUUUUUUGGCCAUUGCCCCCUCUAUGGCUAUAUUAGCAGCAUCCAGAGCUAUAACUUGGGUACUAAUGUUUGGGACGUCGUUGAGACUCAGGGGGCAUUAGUCCAGGGGGGAUACGGCCACAGCACCGCUUAUGAUGAAAACACCCGAUCCAUCUAUAUCCACGGUGGAUACAAAGCUUUCACCGCAAACAAAAAUCGCCUAGCGGAUGACCUGUACAAGUAUGAGGUGGACACUCGCAUGUGGAGAAUCCUAAAAGACAGCAAGUUCUUCCGCUUCCUGCACUCGGCUGUGAUUGUGAGCGGCACCAUGCUGGUGUUUGGCGGGAACACCCACAACGACACAUCCAUGAGCUACGGAGCCAAGUGCUUCUCUAAGGACUUCAUGGCGUAUGACAUAGCUUGCGAUACCUGGCACCAGCUGCCAUUUCCCACUCUGGGCUAUGAUGUCAAUCGCUUCGGUCACACCGCCGUCCUGAAAAACGGCACAAUGUUUGUAUUUGGCGGCUUCAACAGCCUCCUGCUCAGCGACAUCCUGAUGUACACCUCCAAGAGCUGCGAGGCUUUUACAUCGAACACGUCAUGUGUGGAGGCAGGACCCGGAGUCCGGUGUGUCUGGGACAGCGAAGCCUCUCGGUGCUUGUCCUGGGAAGAGGCUACACCAAAGCAGCAAAAUGAGACCGUCCUCACAUGUCCUGCAGUCAUGUAUUUGGAGGGCGACAGCCGGUGCGAUCAGUACACGGACUGCUUCAGCUGCUCGGUGAACUCCAAUGGCUGCCGGUGGUGUAACGACCAGUGUAUAUCCCUCCUCCAGAACUGCAGCCAGGGAGCGAUCACAUCACAUGAGCACUGCCCCAAGAGUAACCACGGGUUUUACUGCAGCAAGAAGACGAGCUGUAAGAGCUGCGCCGUGGACCAGAACUGCCAGUGGGAAUCUCGGAACCAGGAGUGUAUGGGGCUGCCAGAAAACAUCUGUGGGGCCUCCUGGCAUCUGGUGGAAAGCUCCUGCCUGAAAAUCACCAGCACCAAGGACAACUAUGACUUCUCCAAGCAGGCGUGUCGGCAGCACAACGCGAUGCUGGCGUCCCUCACCACCCCCAAGAAGGUGGAGUUCGUGGUGAAGCAGCUGCAGAACAUGCAGACAAAGAGCGAGCUCACCCCUUGGGUCGGCCUCCGAAAGCUAAAUGCUUCUUACUGGUGCUGGGAGGACAUGUCGCCCUUCACUAACACCACGCUGCAGUGGCAAGCAGGGGAGCCCAGCGGUGUCGGCUUCUGCGGCUACCUGGCCGAACCUUCCACAGCGGGCCUAAAAACGGCAACCUGUAUCCACCAGAUAAAUGGCAGCGUCUGUGAAAGACCAGCCAAUCACAGUGCCAAGCAGUGCCGCACCCCGUGUGCCUCCAGGACGCAGUGUUCGGAGUGCACCAGCGCCAGCUCCGAGUGUAUGUGGUGCAGUAACAUGAAGCAGUGUGUGGACUCCAACGCCUAUGUGGCCUCCUUCCCAUUCGGGCAGUGUAUGGAGUGGUAUACCAUGAGCAACUGUCCACCUGAGAACUGCUCCGGAUAUCGUACGUGUGCCCAGUGUCUGGAGCAGCCCGGCUGCGGCUGGUGUACGGACCCCAGUAACACAGGGAAGGGGCAGUGUAUGGAGGCCUCAUAUCAGGGGCCAAUGAAACUGCCAAACGCUUCAGCGGGUGCAAAGGCAAACUCUGAGCCGGUCCUGGAUGUCACCCUGUGCCCUGCCAAUAACAGCUACAACUGGUCCUUCAUCCAUUGUCCAGCCUGCCAGUGUAACGGACACAGCAAGUGCAUCAAUGAAAGUAUCUGCGAGAAGUGCCAAGACCUGACCACCGGCAAGAACUGCGACACCUGCAUCUCCGGCUACUACGGCGACCCCACCAACGGGGGAUCCUGUCAGCCCUGCAAAUGUAACGGACACGCAUCCAUGUGCAACACGAACAGCGGCAAGUGCUUCUGUACCACCAAGGGGAUCAAAGGAGAAGAGUGUCAGCUGUGCGAAGUCGAAAAUCGCUAUCAAGGAAACCCCCUGAAAGGAACGUGUUACUACACCCUGCUGAUUGACUAUCAGUUCACCUUCAGCCUGUCCCAGGAGGACGACCGGUACUACACGGCCAUCAACUUUGUGGCCACUCCUGAGGAGCAAAAUAGAGACCUGGACAUGUUCAUCAAUGCAUCUAAGAACUUCAACCUGAAUAUAACGUGGGCACCAAGCUUUGCAGCCGGCACCCAGGCGGGAGAGGAGAUCCCCAUCAUCUCCAGGACCAACGUCAAGGAAUGUAAAGACACUUUCUCCAAUGAGAAGUUUGACUUCCACAACAAUCCGAACAUCACCUUCUUCGUCUACGUCAGCAACUUCACCUGGCCCAUAAAGAUACAGAUCGCCUUCUCUCAGCACAGUAACUUUAUGGACUUGGUACAGUUCUUUGUCACGUUCUUCAGUUGUUUCCUCUCCUUGCUCCUGGUGGCCGCUGUCGUUUGGAAAAUUAAACAAAGUUGUUGGGCUUCAAGGAGAAGAGAGAUACCCUGCCCUUCGCUCGGACAUCACCAACCCUCCCCAGAUAACCAGUUUCCUCUCCCUGUCAUCACCACCCCUCCUCAGACAUCCAGUGUCUUUACUAUGUGACAUCAUCCAUCCACAUAACCACUGCCCUCAUUAUGUGACAUCAUCAGUCCUCUCCAGCUAAGCCGUUUCCUCCUACUGACAUUACCAGUUGUCCCCUAUUUAACCCUGCUGCUCACUCUGACAUCACAAGCUCUCCUCAUAUAACCCUGCUCCUCAUCCUGUGACAUCACAAGCUCUCCUCAUAUAUCCCUGCUCCUCAUCCUGUGACAUCACAAGCUCUCCUCAUAUAUCCCUGCUCCUCAUCCUGUGACAUCACAAGCUCUCCUCAUAUAUCCCUGCUCCUCAUCCUGUGACAUCACAACUUCUCCUCAUAUAUCCCUGCUCCUCAUCCUGUGACAUCACAAGCUCUCCUCAUAUAUCCCUGCUCCUCAUCCUGUGACAUCACAAGCUCUCCUCAUAUAUCCCUGCUCCUCAUCCUGUGACAUCACAAGCUCUCCUCAUAUAUCCCUGCUCCUCAUCCUGUGACAUCACAAGCUCUCCUCAUAUAUCCCUGCUCCUCAUCCUGUGACAUCACAAGCUCUCCUCAUCCUGUGACAUCACAAGCUCUCCUCAUAUAACCCUGCUCCUCAUCCUGUGACAUCACAAGCUCUCCUCAUAUAACCCUGCUCCUCAUCCUGUGACAUCACAAGCUCUCCUCAUAUAUCCCUGCUCCUCAUCCUGUGACAUCACAAGCUCUCCUCAUAUAUCCCUGCUGGUCACUCUGUGACAUCACAAGCUCUCCUCAUAUAACCCUGCUCCUCAUCCUGUGACAUCACAAGCUAUCCUCAUAUAUCCCUGCUCCUCAUCCUGUGACAUCACAAGCUCUCCUCAUAUAUCCCUGCUGGUCACUCUGUGACAUCACAAGCUCUUGUCAUAUAUCCCUGCCCUUCAUCCUGUGACAUCACAAGCUCUCCUCGCAUAUCCCUGCUGCUCACUCUGUGACAUCACAAGCUCUCCUCAUAUAACCCUGCCCCUCAUCCUGUGACAUCACAAGCUCUCCUCACAUAUCCCUGCUGCUCACUGUGACAUCACAAGCUCUUGUCAUAACCCUGCCCCUCACUCUGUGACAUCACAAGCUCUCCUCUGACAACCCUGACCCUCACUCUGUGACCACCUGUCUUCAUAUAGCCCCGUCCUUAACUUUGUAACAGCACUGACCUGCAGCCACCACUAGGGGCAGCUCUCUGAAGUUGGAUUUAUUCUGCACCUGUUGAACCUGUUCACUUCAGCUCCCCCUGGUGGUAACUGCAUGCAGCCAGAAUUUAAUCAUGUUGGUUGUCCAGGAUUAGAAAAACGUUGCUACUUUUCCACUUCACCACCCUGACGGCCCAGAGAGAUUGACCCCUGACCUCUGUAGGGGCAGGAACAGAGAGAGGUUUAAAAGGGACCCCUCCCACCACCAUUCACCAGUGUGUUCCUGCCCCUAUAGUGGCCAGGACAGAGAAGUCCUCUCUGGCUUCAGGGAGGUGAAGUGGACCUCGAUUUAUUUUUAUUUUAAGGUACCUGGGUGACCGCGUCGGCGGUCCUUGUGGCCUCCCUUGUGGGUUCAUCAUCCAGGAAAGCGUCCCCUGCUCUCCGGCGGACUAGUUCCAAAGCUGGCAGGGUGACGCCAGGGUCAUGCUCCCUGUUGAGGGAAGCCUGCCCUGAGCUGCCGCAGGUCGCCUACCUCCCUGUGGGGGAGCCGACCGGAAAGACGCUCUGCGCAGUCGCGCGCGUCUGACGUCCCUUCCGGGUUGCCGGCGAAACCCGGAAGUAGACGCGGCCUCGAUAAAAAAAAAAGUCUCCCAGCACUCUUCCCUGCUGCGCUCUCUGCAUCGCUCGCUGACCAGACAUGUCGGACCAGGAAAAGGAGCCGCAGCUGAAGGAGCAGACCGCUCCAGAGCGCCCCUGCGUGAGUAGCCCACCUGGGCAGCCGGCAGCUUCACAAAUGGAAGGGGGGGGGGGUGCACCCUGGUGCACCCUAGUGCACCCUAGUGCAUUCUCUGUUCCCCUCCCCCUGGGGGUCUGCUGGUAUACUGCAUCUAUAUUAUGCUCCUAUACCAGACUGACAUAAAUUUAGGCCAAACUAACUUUAAAAAAGUCAGACGACCGCCAGAUGCAUCCAGUGCUCCGUCCGGCUUCCCGAUGACUAUACUAAAAAACUUUGCAAGGAUUGCAUUGCCAAAUUAGUGAGAGAGGAACAGCCCUCAAUUAUGCAGGAGUUCAGAUCCAUGAUUCAGGAGGAGGUUAAGUCUUCCCUGGCCUCCCUCCGUGAGGAUAUCCGGGGGUCUCGCCCACCUAAACGGCCCAGGAUGGCGGAUAUUUCUGACACCGAACAUUUAGAGGACGAUGCCUCAUCCUCUAAAAAAGAGGACGACGACCCCCUGUCUGAGGGUGAGAUCGUUGAGGACACUAGGAAAUAUUUCUUUACCCCCAGUGAGAUGAGUGACCCUUUAAAGGCCAUCAGGGAUACCAUGGGGGUGGAGGACAUACAGCGACCCCAUACGGUUCAGUAGGAGAUGUUUGCUAGAUUGAAGGUCAAACGCUCCAGGGUCUUCCCCAUAAACGAAAACAUUAGGGAAAUGGUGAUGGAUGAAUGGGCCCAUCCUGAAAAGAAACUGGGAAUUUCCAAAGAAUUCAGGAACCGCCUUGUAUUCGACCCGUCGGAUUCUACGAUUUUUGACGAGGUCCCUAGAAUUGACGUCCAGGUGGCCAAGGUCAAUAAAAAAAACCUCACUUCCAUUUGAGGACUCCUGUCAGUUAAGGGACACUAUGGAACGAAAAGCUGACAGUUUAUUAAAAAGUCUUGGGAGGCAGCCAUGUUUAGUGUCAAAACUAACAUAGCUGCUACUUCAGUCGCCAGGUCUAUGUACCUGUGGCUGAACGAAUUAGAGGGUCAUCUAGGGAUCAGAUACUCGAUACUAUUCCCCUAUUAAAAUCCGCCACUGGAUUUCUAGCAGACGCCUCUGCAGAGACGAUUAGGUUCUCAGCCAAGGAUGCAGCUUUGUCCAAUGCUGCCCGGCGGGCACUUUGGAUGAAAUCUUGGUCGGGCGACAUCUCUUCCAAGAUGAAGUUUUAUGUUCUAUAGCCUUCUCAGGGGAAUACGUGUUUGGUCCUGUCCUGGACAAGAUCCUUGAGAAGGCUACGGAUAAAAAGAAAGGGUUCCCUGAGGAAAAGACCGCUAAAAAGAAAACUUCCUUUCGUAGCCAAAAUAGCUCCUUUCGUGGUAAAGGUAAAUCCGGAAGUUGGAGUUACCCAAAAGGGGGAAGGGGUAGAGGAUUCCUCCUUAAUCCCCAAAACAAGGGAGGUGAGAAACGGUGACGCCAGGAUUGGGGGAAGACUAUCCCAGUUUUUUGCUCAGUGGCAGGAGACUUCUCCCAGCCUCUGGGCUCAAAAUCUUGUCAGAAAUGGAUACAGGAUAGAGUUAUCUCUCCCCCCCCCCCCCCCCACAUCCAAAUGUGUUUCUGAUUUCUCACCACCCUUCUCCCUUUCAGCACAGCCAGAUCUGGAAGGAGGUUCAGAAUCUCCGGGACUUGGGAGUAGUGAUUCCUGUUCCCGAGCUUCAACGGGGGCAAGGUUUCUACUCCAGCCUUUUCUUAGUAAAGAAACCAGGGGGUUCCUUCCGUAUGAUAAUAAACCUCAAGAGGCUAAACAAAUUUAUCUACAAAAAAAUUCAAGAUGGAAUCUCUAAAUUCCACCAUUCCUUUAAUUCAAAAAGAUGCGUCCCUCUGUACAAUCGACUUAAAGGACGCAUACUAGCAUGUUCCUAUUCACUCCCAGUCUCAAAGGUUCCUACGGUUUGCAGUAAGGGAUCACAGAGGGUCUGUUCACCACUUCCAGUUCGUGGCUCUCCCCUUCAGGAUGGCCUCAGCCCCAAGGAUUUUCACGAAGCUGGUGGUAGAGAUGGUCGCCUCACUGAGGUCUCAGGGUGUGACUGUCGUUCCUUACCUAGACGACUUUCUACUGAUUUCCAACUCGGUGGAUCAGUCUAUAGCAGACCGAGACAUCUUCUGCUCCCUUCUGACAUCUCUAGGUUGGGUGAUAAACCUAAAAAAGUCAUCCCUAGUUCCAAAUACCAGGGUAAAAUUCCUGGGGGUUCUGUUAGAUUCAGAAAAACAAACAACCUUUCUUCCAGCAGAAAGAAUUCUGAACCUGCAGUCCGCGAUCAGGGCCUUCCUAGGACGUCGCUCCUUCUCGUGCAGAGAAGCGAUGAGUCUCUUAGGUCAGAUGACAGCCUAAAUAGUAGCAGUCCCCUGGUGCUAGGCCCAUUACAGAGCCCUUCAGUCCUGGCUUCUAAGGAAAUGGGACAAAAAUCUAUCCUCUUUGGGCAAGAAAAUCCUGAUCCCGGGCCACAUAAAAUCCUCAGUCCAGUGGUGGCUUCAAACAAAAACUUAACGAAGGGCAUGGUCUGGUUCAGAACCCCAGCAGUGCUUGUUCAUACCGAUGCCAGCAUAAAGGGGUGGGGCGCAAUUUUUUUUCCGAUCUCUACCAGGGAGACUGGCCUCUAAAUAUUGCUGCUCAUUCUUCAAACUACAGGGAGCUCAGGGCAGUUUGGGAGACAAUACAAGUUGCCACUCCAAAAUUAAGAAACCAACAUAUAAAGGUCUAUUCAGACAAUGUAACAACCGUGUCCUACCUCAAACAUGAGGGGGGCACUCGGUACCUGAAAAACUAGAAGGUCUGUCCAAAAAGAUCUUCCUCUGGGGGGAAAAGAACGUAAAGUCGAUAUCUGCAAUACAUUUAAAAGGAAGCCUAAACUGUGCAGCGGACUUCCUCAGCAGGACUACCAUAGACCAGGGGGAAUGGUCUUCAAACAGGGAUCCGGAAAUCUUGAAUCUCUCGGCUUGGAUCCUGAGUCCAACCUUCUAAGACAUAGAGGUCUCUCCGAAGCGGUUAUUUCUACCUUGAAGGCCAGCAGAAAGAAGGUGACCAACGCCAUUUAUUUUAAAAUCUGGAAAAAAUUCUGUACCUGGUCUGGCAACGAUGCCCCAGACCAAACCGAAUGUACUGAGGAUUUUGGAUUUCCUGCAGAAGGGCCUAGAGUCUGGGUUAAGUCCUUCUACCCUUAAAGUCCAGGUCUCAGCACUUAGUGCAUAUUUCGAUUCCGAAUUAGCCAGCCAUAGAUGGAUCCAAAGAUUCCUGAGAUCUGCAGCCAGACUAAGACCUUCUCUCAAAUCAAGGGUGCCUACCUGGGACUUAAACACUGUCCUUAACGGACUCGCAGGUCCGCCUUACGAACCCUUGGACUCAAGUUCUCUGAAACAUCUUUCUCAGAAGACGGCUUUUCUUAUUGCUAUAACAUCAGCAAAAAGAUUGAGCGAGAUCCAAGCAUUGUCAAUAAGACAACCAUACCUCACAAUACAGGAGGACGUGUCACCAUUGAGGCUAGACCCGACCUUUUUGCCAAAAGUAGUAACAGACUUCCAUAGGAACCAGGAGAUCGUUCUUCCCUCCUUCUGUGAAAACCCUAAGAUUUCUGGAGAAGAACGUUUCCAUACCUUGGAUGUUAGACGAACAGUGCUAAGAUACCUAGAGGUCACUAAAGACCUGAGGAAAGUGGACAAUUUACUAGUGCUCUUCUGUGGUAAAAAUAAGGGGAAGGCAGCUUCCAGAUCUACCAUUGCCCGAUGGGUAAAACAGACUAUUAUGGACUGCUACAAGAUCGAAGGCAUCAGUUGUCCAGAGGUCAUUCGGGCUCACUCUACGAGAGCCAUGUCUGCCUCUUUUGCUGAAAGGGCAGGAGCUUCCCUAGAUCAAAUAUGCCAGGCUGCAACCUGGUCUAGUGUAAACACCUUCAUUAAACAUUAUACACUUGACUUAUCCAGAUCCUCAGACCUGGCCUUUGGUCGCAAGGUCCUACCGGCCAUUCCCCCACCCUAAGACGUAUAUAAUUUGUUAUGUCUCUCUGGGCCGUCAUGGUGGUGAAGUGGAAAGCCGGAAUUAGACUUACCGGUAAUUCAUUUUCCACAAAUCCACCAUGACGGCAUGAUAUCCCACCCCAAAAAUACUUUUUACUCCGAUGGUUUGGUAUGACUUAAUACCAAAAAAACAAAAAACACUUUGUUGGUUCACUUGUUAACUGGUGAUUGUGGCACUAUAAUCUGGAACUCACUGGUGAAUGGUGGUGGGAGGGGUCCUUUUAAACCUAUCUCUGUUCCUGCCCCUACAGAGGUCAGGGGUAAAUCUCUCUGGGCCGUCAUGGUGGAUUCGGGGAAAAUGAAUUACCGGUAAGUCUAAUUCCGGCUUUUUUUUUUUUCUUUUCCAAAAGCAGCCCUUCUGUCCAUGAGUUGUGUCCGGUAUUGCCGUUCACUGAUCUGCCCUUCUGGACCAUUGUUUGUAGCUUUCAGUUGUUGUCACGUGUUUACAAAGUGCCCACUGCGGGGACAUUGUGAAGGCUUAUUGCAUGUCUGCACUGUCAUGCUUCAUGUAUAACCCGCUCCCCAUCCCCCGAGGUGUGACUGCUGGUGCCAUAUCCAGGGUAAUGGGGGUGACUGUGGGGUCCUGCACCAGUAGAUAUGAUCACAGACUUAGCAGGAGUGGAUGAGAUCCUUAUACUAAAAAAAGACGUCCUACAGCAUUGUAACUAAUAACCGACUGUUGGGGAAAAAACUAUAGAAACAUUCUUUAAAAUAAUCACAUGUACGGAGGUUGGCACCGCCUCCGGAAAACAAACUGAACGAAGUAUAGGUCACGUGGGACGUUCCGAGGCUCCGAUCACGUGGGACGCCGAACAGAAACCGGAAGGAGGUCCCUGAACAACGCAGCAAUAUGCACGCCAUCGGGUAGAAGAAGAGGGCAACUCAUCCGGGAGAUGCAGCAGAUGGCGAGCCGACCCUUCGCCUCCGUCAACGUCGCCCUGGAAACGGACGAGGAGCCGCCGGAUCUGAUCGGCGGGAGCGUGAAGACUGUACCGAAGCCGAUCGCCUUGGAGCC